This is a long non-coding RNA of Xiphophorus hellerii (green swordtail), 140 nucleotides long. RefSeq lists it as uncharacterized. The transcript is spliced from 2 exons. The record is from RefSeq and is a predicted model, not a curated record. Lineage: Eukaryota; Metazoa; Chordata; Actinopteri; Cyprinodontiformes; Poeciliidae.
AAGUUGAUACCACUGCCUAUAAGCAGCUUGAAGUUUCAAUAUAGAUACUCCAUGAGUACUGGUUUUUGUUAAGCAUUAUCACUAAAUAAGACCCAGAUGAAACUCUGACCAUGCUGUAAAGUGAAAGCCAUAUUAAAUAA